Long non-coding RNA from Triticum aestivum (bread wheat), 492 nucleotides. RefSeq lists it as uncharacterized. The record is from RefSeq and is a predicted model, not a curated record. The transcript is spliced from 3 exons. NCBI's taxonomy places the organism in Eukaryota, Viridiplantae, Streptophyta, Magnoliopsida, Poales, Poaceae.
AGAGGUGGCGACGGCGGAGGCGCGCGACGGCUAGGUUGGAGGCCGCCCCACCGGCAGUGCUCAAAUCCACCGCGUCAACCCGACAGCACGAAGCCGCCAACCUCAUCCUGCUUGAACGGAGCCGCCCACCUCAUCACGCUGGCCGCCCCCUUCCGUGCCGUACAGUCGCCGUUGCUCUCCCCACCACUGCAACUGCCAUAUCCUCCCUUGCAAUACUGUUUGGUCAUCACAGAGCUCAAGUCAUAGGACCAUAGCAUGCCAUGUUGUGGUUGAUGCAGAUCUGAGAUGACACCGAGGCAACGAGAUAGCGGGCGGCAGGCCGCUGAUGAAUAAUGACGACGACAAUUUUCACAAUUAUCUGGAGUUGGAGGCUAAGCCGGUGGACAAAGGUAGUGGAAGACCUGGUCAAUGUCGGGGAUGUCGGCGGUCCUGUCUCCCUCAUCUAUUGCAUCAGACCGUCUUCUCCUCAUUGUCAUGAUGCUUCAGAACUGU